GCGUUCGUAGUCUAGUGGUUAGGAUAACUGCCUUCCAUGUUUCCUGGAUGUCAGCAGUUGACCCGAGUUCGAAUCUCGGCGGACGCA
This 87-nucleotide transfer RNA is filed under the name Trichodelitschia bisporula. It matches the Rfam family "tRNA". From Rfam's summary of the family: Transfer RNA (tRNA) molecules are approximately 80 nucleotides in length. The record is from Rfam by way of RNAcentral. Lineage: Eukaryota; Fungi; Ascomycota; Dothideomycetes; Phaeotrichales; Phaeotrichaceae.